AUCCCGUGGCGCGGCGCGGCGCCCCCUGCCGGCUGGCCUGUCCCCGUGUCCUCCCGUCCUGUCCGCGCGGGCAGGCGAGCGAAGGCGGCGACCCGACCGCUCACGCGCGCCGGCACGUCGGAGCACAUCGGCACACGCCAGGGAGCGGGCGGCCGGACCCUGCCCUGCCCGGUCGCGACCUGAAGCUCUGUAGCCCACCUCGCAUCGGCCCCUCCGCGCCGCACCAACCGAGCCCCCCAGCCCAAUCAUGCGCGGCGCGCGCGUGCCGGGUCGCCAGCCGCGCGUCGCGUCGGCCGGGUCCGGCCGCCACGCCACCCCACGCGCCGGGAGCCCGGGAUCGAUGGCGAGCUGCUACCUAGCUAGCUAGCGCGAGGCUGGUGGACGGGAUCCCAAGCCAAGCUGCCGCGCCGAGUGUCGGUCGGUCUUUGUUUGUCCUGAUGGCGGGAGCGGUGGCGAUGGGAUCGAGCUCGGUGUCCGAACAGCGUGGCGCGUGGUGGGGGAACGUGGACUUGCUGAUUAUGGGGGGGGAUUGUUUUGAAGAUGGGUGUAGUUAGCUGGAGAUGGACUUGCUAAUUUGCAUGGGCGAUGGAGCACGAUGCACACACUUAAUUUCCUUUUCGAGUGAAAAAAGGGAACAGGUUAGUCAUAAGUGUAUCUAAUUUGGUCAUUUGGUGUUUAUUUAUAAACUUCGGAUGUCUUUUAACUAGUUGCUGAAUCAAUGAUGCGUGUUUUUUUA
Molecule: long non-coding RNA, 736 nt
Organism: Panicum hallii
Lineage: Eukaryota; Viridiplantae; Streptophyta; Magnoliopsida; Poales; Poaceae
Exons: 2
Source: RefSeq, a predicted model, not a curated record